RNAcentral lists this ribosomal RNA (484 nucleotides) under uncultured bacterium. Its description in RNAcentral is "partial 16S ribosomal RNA". It matches the Rfam family "Bacterial small subunit ribosomal RNA", at positions 30 to 507 of the family's 1533-position model. The record is from RNAcentral.
AUUGAACGCUGGCGGCAUGCUUUACACAUGCAAGUCGAACGGCAGCGCGGGCUUUGGCCUGGCGGCGAGUGGCGAACGGGUGAGUAAUACAUCGGAAUGUGCCCAGUAGUGGGGGAUAGCUCGGCGAAAGCCGGAUUAAUACCGCAUACGACCUGAGGGUGAAAGCGGGGGAUCUUCGGACCUCGCGCUAUCGGAGCGGCCGAUGGCAGAUUAGCUAGUUGGUGGGGUAAAGGCCUACCAAGGCGACGAUCUGUAGCUGGUCUGAGAGGACGAUCAGCCACACUGGAACUGAGACACGGCCCAGACUCCUACGGGAGGCAGCAGUGGGGAAUUUUGGACAAUGGGCGAAAGCCUGAUCCAGCAAUGCCGCGUGUGUGAUGAAGGCCUUCGGGUUGUAAAGCACUUUUGGCGGGAACGAAAAGGACUGUGCCAAUACCACGGUUCGAUGACGGUACCCGCAGAAUAAGCACCGGCUAACUACGUG